GAAAGAUAGCCGGUGGUGAAACUGCUGUUUCAUCGCCUUCUGUGUGUCCUCCUCGCCUCUGUCCUAUCCCCAGUGGAAGAGAAGGUGCAAGGCGGGCAGAGGAAGAGAGAGUGGGGUGCAGCGGGCAGCAUGCGCCACUGUGGGCAGCUUAGCAUGUGGGAGAGGAGAGGGUGGUGGGCACCAACAUGAGAUGGGCACAAACCAGAUCUCCCUCAGGAACCUGGGUUUUUAUUCCUAGGGUGCUGGAAGCCAUGGGGUGGGGGUUGGCGAGGGCCGGGUUGGAUAGAAAAGAUCCAGCAUUCUGUCUUCUCUUGGGCGUGUUACCCUGGAGGCGUUGGUGCAUCCGAGUGGGAAUGUCACGCAGGCGAUGGGACGUCAGAGAAGAGGUCGGAGUGGAGACAGCCACAGGGUCAUUGGCGGUGGGUGGGAUUCAGCGCAUGGAGCCAUCACAGCACCUUUCCUGACACGGGCUGCUGUGUGCCAGCAUCGUUCUGCGGGUCUGAGAGAACUCACUUCACUGCUCCCUCAGCCCUCACCGUGACACUGUGGCUGAUCUACCAGGUGGGGGAUUGAGGCCCACAGGUGUUAAGGUGCCCAAGAUCACCCCUAGAACGUGGGAGGGCAGUGAUUUGAACCCAGGUGAUGUGCCUCCAGGCUUCAUGCUCUAACCACGAGGCUGUGUUUCACCCUUUGCAGGCGAGUAUAGUGAGGGAAGAGAGGUAGCCCAACACUUAGUGCUCGAUAGCGUUACUUUUCUUGUUUCUCCCUUCUUCAGGGAAAGAGGACUCCACAUAGAGAAGCGGAGUAAGACGUGGGGAGAGCAUAUCGGGCGGCAUGGGGCCCAGAAGAACUGAGGGACUGAGGCUCAGGAGCCACCGCUGAACUGGGGGGCUCGCCUUCGAAGGCGGAGGCGUGGCUGAGCGCGGUGCUGAGUCAAGACCAUUAUGUGGAUGUUUAAUUCCAGAAAAGGCGGUCUCGUUUCAUAGGAAAGAUCCAUUCUGCGUGGAUGACCUUUCGUAACUCGAGAAUCAUUGAAUAGGAAUAAAUGUAAAAAGUGGAAGAAAUAAUGUUCAGAGUGCAUAGAUCUACAACUAUUGGAACUGUUUUUUGUGUUUGUUUUUUUUGCUUUAAUAUACUUUAUUUUCUCAGCAUUUUCACUGUGUUUUUUUUGAAUGCAUAUAAAUUAAUAGUUCACAUGUCUUCAUG
Long non-coding RNA from Myotis lucifugus (little brown bat), 1206 nucleotides. RefSeq lists it as uncharacterized. NCBI's taxonomy places the organism in Eukaryota, Metazoa, Chordata, Mammalia, Chiroptera, Vespertilionidae. The transcript is spliced from 2 exons. The record is from RefSeq and is a predicted model, not a curated record.